This 1475-nucleotide ribosomal RNA is filed under the name uncultured Bordetella sp. RNAcentral's name for it is "partial 16S-23S ribosomal RNA intergenic spacer". It matches the Rfam family "Bacterial small subunit ribosomal RNA". Lineage: Bacteria; Pseudomonadati; Pseudomonadota; Betaproteobacteria; Burkholderiales; Alcaligenaceae. The record is from RNAcentral.
AGUUCGAUCAUGGCUCAGAUUGAACGCUGGCGGGAUGCUUUACACAUACCGUCGAACGGCACGGACUUCGGUCUGGUGGCGAGUGGCGAACGGGUGAGUAAUGUAUCGGAACGUGCCUAGUAGCGGGGGAUAACUGCGAAAGCGUAGCUAAUACCGCAUACGCCCUUCGGGGGAAAGCGGGGGACCUUCGGGCCUCGCACUAUUAGAGCGGCCGAUAUCGGAUUAGCUGAGUUGGUGGGGUAACGGCUCACCAAGGCGACGAUCCGUAGCUGGUUUGAGAGGACGACCAGCCACACUGGGACUGAGACACGGCCCAGACUCCUGCAGGAGGCAGCAGUGGGGAAUUUUGGACAAUGGGGAAACCUGAUCCAGCCAUCCCGUGUGCGAUGAAGGCCUUCGGGUUGUAAAGCACUUUUGGCAGGAAAGAAACGACACGGGAUAAUACCCCGUGCAACUGACGGUACCUGCAGAAUAAGCACCGGCUAACUACGUGCCAGCCGCGGUGACCGUAAGUGCAAGCGGCGUUAAUCGGAAAUACUGGGCGUAAAGCGUGCGCAGGCGGUUCGGAAAGAAAGAUGUGAAAUCCCAGAGCUUAACUGGGAACUGCAUUUUUAACUACCGAGCUAGAGUGUGUCAGAGGAGGUGGGUCCGCGUGUAGCAGUGAAAUGCGUAGAUAUGCGGGAGGAACACCGAUAGCAGAGAAGGCAGCCUCCUGGGAUAACACUGACGCUCAUGCACGAAAGCGUGGAGGGCAAACAGGAUUAGAUACCCUGGUAGUCCACGCCCUAAACGAUGUCAACUAGCUGUUGGGGCCUUCCGGGCCUUGGUAGCGCAACUAACGCGUGAAGUUGACCGCCUGGGAAGUACGGUCGCAAGAUUAAAACUCAAAGGAAUUGACGGGGACCCGCACAAGCGGUGGAUGAUGUGGAUUAAUUCGAUGCAACGCGAAAAACCUUACCUACCCUUGACAUGUCUGGAAUCCCGAAGAGAUUUGGGAGUGCUCGCAAAGAGAACCGGAACACAGGUGCUGUAUGGCUGUCGUCAGCUCGUGUCGUGAGAUGUUGGGUUAAGUCCCGCAACGAGCGCAACCCUUGUCAUUAGUUGCUACGAAAGGGCACUCUAAUGAGACUGCCGGUGACAAACCGGAGGAAGGUGGGGAUGACGUCAAGUCCUCAUGGCCCUUAUGGGUAGGGCUUCACACGUCAUACAAUGGUCGGGACAGAGGGUCGCCAACCCGCGAGGAAGACAAUCCCAGAAACCCGAUCGUAGUCCGGAUCGCAGUCUGCAACUCGACUGCGUGAAGUCGGAAUCGCUAGUAAUCGCGGAUCAGCAUGUCGCGGUGAAUACGUUCCCGGGUCUUGUACACACCGCCCGUCACACCAUGGGAGUGGGUUUUACCAGAAGUAGUUAGCCUAACCGUAAGGAGGGCGAUUACCGGUAGGAUUCAUGACUGGGGUGAAGUCGUAACAAGGUAA